AGGUCAGAUAUCAUUAAAAGUAAACCCCUUAGACGGGACUGCAGUUUACGGAGAUGUGUCCUACACCAUAGAGUGUACAAUAACUGGAACUCAAGCUAAAGCAUGGUCUUGGUCAAUCACUGGUAGUACAACAACGACACUAUCUAGCGGAAGCAAAUACAGCAUAGUAAUAUAUCCAAAUGCUACGGAUUUAACUAUAAAUAGCAUUAUAGAGAAGGACGAACAGGAGUAUUUCUGUCAAGCGACAAUUGGUGUAGGGUUAAAAUUUCAGACAAUGUCAAGGCUUAUUGUCAAUGGAGGUCAGUUCUAGUCAGGUGUAUCUCACGGUGUAAAUGUGCUAUAUUUCUAAUUAAGUUAAUGUAAUAAAAUCUGAUCUUUUCAAUAUUUAGACUGUUUAGCAAUAAUUGUACAAACAGCUUUACUUAUGAAGUAUCAUUCAUGAACAGAUAAACUUCAUAUUGAAAUCCAUUACAAGACUUCGUGAAGAUACUUUUAGUAUACGGUUAGAUGUUUACUGCAAAAAAUGUUUUUAAAGGUUAUUUGAACGGCUUUCCUAUCUGUCCCUUAACGACAUUUUCUUUUCUGAUGACCAAAGUUUUUAAAGGUUAUUUGAACGGCUUUCCUAUCUGUCCCUUAACGACGUUUUCUUUUCUGAUGACCAAAGUUAGUGUAUAUGACCAAAUAUUAAGUCAGUAGUUUACCAGAUUAGAUAUCAUAUAUAGAACCUGGUCCACUGUCUUCGCCCUGAUUUGUGAUAGAGCUCGUGAUAUAUUUCCAGUUUGAAUCCCGAAGACAGCCAUAUUGUGAAUAUAUUGUUUAAUUUUAAUACCGUGUUAUCUUGAUUUAUAUUCAAUUUCAUAAAUGCAUCUGUGACGUCACUUUAUGGCGUUUGAUACAGUCGUUGGCUUUUUAACUAUUUUGAUCUGAGCGUCACUGAUGAGUCUUAUGUAGACGAAACGCGCGUCUGGCGUAUAAAAUUAUAAUUCCUGGUACUUUGAUAACUAUUUACACCACUGGGUCGAUGCCACUGCUGGUGGACGUUUCGUCCCCGAGGGUAUCACCAGCCCAGUAGUCAGCACUUCGGUGUUGACAUGAAUAUCAAUUAUAUGGUCAUUUUUAUAAACUUUCUGUUUACAAAACUUUGAAUUUUCGAAAUACUAAGGAUUUUCUUACCCCAGGAGUAGAUUACCUUAGCCGUAUUUGGCACAACUUUUUGGAAUUUUGGUUCUCAAUGCUCUUCAACUUUGUAUUUAUUUGGCUUUUUAACUAUUUUGAUCUGAGCGUCACUGAUGAGUCUUAUGUAGACGAAACGCGCGUCUGGCGUAUAAAAUUAUAAUCCUGGUACUUUUGAUAACUAUUUACACCACUGGGUCGAUGCAACUGCUGGUGGACGUUUCGUCCCCGAGGGUAUCACCAGCCCAGUAGUCAGCACUUCGGUGUUGACAUGAAUAUCAAUUAAAUGGUCAUUUUUAUAAAUUUUCUGUUUACAAAACGUUGAAUUUUUCAAAAUACUAAGGAUUUUCUUACCCCAGGAGUAGAUUACCUUAGCCGUAUUUGGCACAACUUUUUGGAAUUUUGGUUCUCAAUGCUCUUCAACUUUGUAUUUAUUUGGCUUUUUACUAUUUGAUCUGAGCGUCACUGAUGAGUCUUAUGUAGACGAAACGCGCGUCUGGCGUAUAAAAUUAUAAUCCUGGUACUUUUGAUAACUAUUGAUGGACAGUUCGUGGCUCUGUUGUCCUAGAUUGCCUUACGUGUUCAUUGGUUUUCUGUGGUUGGCAUGUCGAAAUGUACAAUUAUAUUCUUUAUUUGUAUGUUUCUCUGUCCAAAAUGUUGUUUUUUUCAUUUACAAAAAAAAUGUACUUGCAUGACAUAUUGUCAUUUUAGAGGUAUAUUUAACAUUGCCAUGAAAGCGCGAGAAUUGGCUCCACACAAAUCCAGGUUAAAUCCAGCGGGUCUUUUUUUUUGUUGUUAAAAUGUCCUGUACCAAGUCAGGAAAAUGGUAGUUGUAAUCUUAUAGUUCGAUUCUGUGUUUGUUGUAUUUUCGUUUGUUUUUUGUUGUAAUUCAGUGUUUCUGUUGUUUCGUGGUUUUCCUCUUUCAAAACUUUAAGGAAUUUUUGGCUCUUAAUGCUCUUCAACUUUGAACUUAGAUUGGCCGUUUUACCUUAAUAUGAUUCGAUUGGCACACAUACAAAAUCUUAAUCCUGGUAACAAUGAUGUAUUUAUUUUCUACAGAUGUUGCCGUUUGUUUUGGGUUUUUAUUUGGCAAUUUAGUUUUUCUGUUGUUUCGUUGUUUUCUUCUUUCAAACUUUUUAGAAACUUUAGGCUAUAACUGCUCUUCAAAUUUGUACUGAGAUUAGCUUUUUUGAACUUAUUUUGAUUCGAUUGGCACACAUAUAAAUUCUUAAUCCUGGUAACAAUGAUGUUUUUAUUUUCUAUAUAUGUUGCCGUGUGUUUUGGGUUCAUUUGCACUUCAGAGUUUCUGUUGUUCCGUUGUUUUCGCCUUAUAGUUUAUGAGUUCCCUUCGCUUUUAGAUUGUUACCCGGAUUUGUUUUGUCUCAAUCGAUUUAUGACUUUUGAAAAGCGGUAAACAUACUGUUGCCUAUUUAUCAAAAUACUUACUACAUAAGAACUUUUCUUAUAUUCACAAUUAUGAAAUUUUUGUUACCAAAGACAGAGUCACAAAUACUAACAUCAAUUACAAAAAAAGAAGAAUGCUCUGAGUCCUUGUUGUACAUGCACAAUGAUAUAUAAAUAUCUCAAUGAAAUCGUCACUUACAAUACACGGAAGUCGUUAUGUUUAAUAAAGAGUUUGAUUUUCGUUCUUCUUAAUCGAGUGUAUGUGUAUAUAUUACAUGUAAAUACAUAUUUAAAAAUUUUAAAUUGGCUAAAACAAUUUAUGCAUCAUGCAAUGUUUAUAUUAGUAUUUAAUAGGUCACGUUUCACCGGCUGAUUUCAUUUCAAAUUUAAUGUUAUGCUAUUUUAAAUUAAACAUUUAACGAUGAGCAGCAAAUUAAAUAUUUUAAUUCCACCAUUUUAAAACUUUCAAAAUUAUCUAAAAUUAAAGUUCUGUAAGAUUCUCUUUUGGUCAUUGAUUUAGAGACUUUAGUUGAAAAGAUUUGUUGCCAGCUUUAAAUAUUAUCUUUUAUAUUGAAGAUUAGAUAUAUUCUAUAUUUAUCUUUGAUUUUUUUAUCUUUAGGCCUUAUAACUAACAAGUACUUGAAACAAAAAUAUCUAUGCGAUAUAUAUGUUGUGUACAAGUUGACAUUUUAUACAAAUGAUAAUUAUUGAAAAAAAGUUCUAUGUUGUGUUUGGAUGACUUUUUAAGACAAAAUCCAUUAAAGGGUUUAUUUACGGAAAUAAUAAUACCAUAAGUACGUCUGAAUCAGUGACGACAAAUUGUAUCAAUAGGAUCACCAGCAGGUGAUGGUGAUACAAGGCUGAAAAACAUACUCUGUAUAUAUAACUCAUCCAAACAUGUACAUAUGCGUAGGCAAGUUGUUUGUUCUUCCCCGGCCUGGAUUCGAACUCAAGCUACUGAGAUAUCAAGGUACCAAAUCGCCUUGCUCAAUGCCAACGAGCUGGACCACUCGAUCACCUAGGCUCUACAAAAAUAAAGUUUUCGGGUGUUACCUGUCCUCGUCAGUUUAAAUCAAGUGUCGUAACACAGGUUUCAUAAUAUUUAAGCUAGGCAUUCAGAUAGAAUUUUUACAGGUGAGAUGAAUUUUCUAUCGUAAAGGAUCUUACAAAAAAAGACAAGAUGGAGUCUCGGAAAAGCUCAUAUUAUAAGUACGUCUAAACCAAUGACAACUCUGCGGUGUAUUGCCUAAAAAUACAUUCUGUACAUUUAAUUCGACUAAACAUCAGCCCAACAAUUUUAGAUCUGUAAAUUUGCAAAAGCAAAUUGUUUGUUCUUCCCUGACCUGGAUUCGAACUCGUGACUUUUGCCCGACGCGCUUGAAUAGACCUAAUGUUGUUAAAUUGUUGAUUUUUAUGCUUUUCUGUAAUGCAUUAACUAUCAAGCAUUCGUUCUUGAAAAAAAUCUUCUUCACGUGGGUUUUUUAACGAAUUUUAGUAUAGUUUUUGCCUGUAUUGGUUUUUACUUUCGUUUUAACAUGAAUGAUAUUGCGCAUGUGUCCUUAUCUUUUCAGGUCUCUUAACUGUUAGUAUUUUUCCUGCUAAGGCUGAUGUUCUCCAGGGACAAUCUCAAUUAAUCUCCUGUAUCAUAACCGGGGAACCAGUAGCCUCAGACAUAAGUUGGUAUUUUACACCAACUGGUUCUGAGCAACGGCAAUUAAUAUACACAGGCAAUACAGCCAAGUAUUCUGGUGGUAACACUCAGAA
RNAcentral lists this long non-coding RNA (4341 nucleotides) under Mytilus galloprovincialis (Mediterranean mussel). Lineage: Eukaryota; Metazoa; Mollusca; Bivalvia; Mytilida; Mytilidae. The record is from RNAcentral.